RNAcentral lists this transfer RNA (74 nucleotides) under Bacteroidota bacterium. RNAcentral's name for it is "Bacteroidetes bacterium (groundwater metagenome) tRNA-Arg". It matches the Rfam family "tRNA". From Rfam's summary of the family: Transfer RNA (tRNA) molecules are approximately 80 nucleotides in length. Lineage: Bacteria; Pseudomonadati; Bacteroidota. The record is from RNAcentral.
GGGCCCGUAGCUCAACUGAAUAGAGCAUCUGACUACGGAUCAGAAGGUUUGGGGUUUGAAUCCAUACGGGCCCA